Molecule: non-coding RNA, 122 nt
Filed under: chicken gut metagenome
Description: FMN riboswitch (RFN element)
Rfam family: FMN riboswitch aptamer (RFN element)
About the family: The RFN element is a highly conserved domain that is found frequently in the 5'-untranslated regions of prokaryotic mRNAs that encode for flavin mononucleotide (FMN) biosynthesis and transport proteins.
Source: RNAcentral
UGUCUUCAGGGCAGGGUGCAAUUCCCGACCGGCGGUAUAGUCCGCGAGCGCAAGCUGAACCGGUGAAACUCCGGUACCGACAGUAAGGCCAGUUCUGGCACGAGUCUGGAUGGAAGAAGAUG